Molecule: ribosomal RNA, 253 nt
Filed under: uncultured bacterium
Lineage: Bacteria
Description: partial 16S ribosomal RNA
Rfam family: Bacterial small subunit ribosomal RNA
Source: RNAcentral
UACGAAGGGUGCAAGCGUUAAUCGGAAUUACUGGGCGUAAAGCGUGCGUAGGCGGUUUCUUAAGUCUGCUGUGAAAGCCCCGGGCUCAACCUGGGAAUGGCGGUGGAUACUGAGAAGCUGGAGUACGGUAGAGGAAGGUGGAAUUCCCGGUGUAGCGGUGAAAUGCGUAGAGAUCGGGAGGAACAUCAGUGGCGAAGCCGGCCUUCUGGACCAGUACUGACGCUGAGGCACGAAAGCGUGGGGAGCGAACCGG